AUCUAGCUGACGAGUCCCAAAUAGGAUGAAACACGCGUCCUGGAU
RNAcentral lists this non-coding RNA (45 nucleotides) under Schistosoma mansoni. The record is from RNAcentral. Lineage: Eukaryota; Metazoa; Platyhelminthes; Trematoda; Strigeidida; Schistosomatidae.